UACGUAGGGGGCAAGCGUUGCUCGGAAUUACUGGGCGUAAAGGGUGUGUAGGCGGUUCGGUAUGUCAAGGAUGAAAUCCCAAAGCUCAACUUCGGAAUGGUCCUUGAAACUGCCGGGCUUGAGGGUAGUUGAGGAGAGCGGAAUUCCCGGUGGAGCGGUGAAAUGCGUAGAUAUCGGGAGGAACACCAGAGGCGAAGGCGGUUCUCUGAGCUACACCUGACGCUGAGACACGAAAGCUAGGGGAG
Molecule: ribosomal RNA, 245 nt
Filed under: uncultured Aminicenantes bacterium
Lineage: Bacteria; Candidatus Aminicenantota
Description: partial 16S ribosomal RNA
Rfam family: Bacterial small subunit ribosomal RNA
Source: RNAcentral